UACGAAGGGGGCUAGCGUUGCUCGGAAUUACUGGGCGUAAAGGGCGCGUAGGCGGCACUGUUAGUCAGGCGUGAAAUUCCUGGGCUCAACCUGGGGACUGCGCUUGAUACGGCAGAGCUAGAGGAUGGAAGAGGCUCGCGGAAUUCCCAGUGUAGAGGUGAAAUUCGUAGAUAUCAGGAAGAACACCUAUGGCGAAGGCAGCUCUCUGGGACGGUACUGACGCUGAGACGCGAAAGCGUGGGGAGCGAACAGG
This 253-nucleotide ribosomal RNA is filed under the name uncultured bacterium. RNAcentral's name for it is "partial 16S ribosomal RNA". It matches the Rfam family "Bacterial small subunit ribosomal RNA", at positions 524 to 776 of the family's 1533-position model. The record is from RNAcentral.